GAUGAACGCUGGCGGCGUGCCUAAUACAUGCAAGUCGAGCGAACAGACGAGGAGCUUGCUCCUCUGACGUUAGCGGCGGACGGGUGAGUAACACGUGGAUAACCUACCUAUAAGACUGGGAUAACUUCGGGAAACCGGAGCUAAUACCGGAUAAUAUAUUGAACCGCAUGGUUCAAUAGUGAAAGACGGUUUUGCUGUCACUUAUAGAUGGAUCCGCGCCGCAUUAGCUAGUUGGUAAGGUAACGGCUUACCAAGGCAACGAUGCGUAGCCGACCUGAGAGGGUGAUCGGCCACACUGGAACUGAGACACGGUCCAGACUCCUACGGGAGGCAGCAGUAGGGAAUCUUCCGCAAUGGGCGAAAGCCUGACGGAGCAACGCCGCGUGAGUGAUGAAGGUCUUCGGAUCGUAAAACUCUGUUAUUAGGGAAGAACAAAUGUGUAAGUAACUAUGCCCGUCUUGACGGUACCUAAUCAGAAAGCCACGGCUAACUACGUG
This 497-nucleotide ribosomal RNA is filed under the name uncultured bacterium. RNAcentral's name for it is "partial 16S ribosomal RNA". It matches the Rfam family "Bacterial small subunit ribosomal RNA", at positions 28 to 507 of the family's 1533-position model. The record is from RNAcentral.